RNAcentral lists this ribosomal RNA (383 nucleotides) under uncultured eukaryote. RNAcentral's name for it is "partial 18S ribosomal RNA". It matches the Rfam family "Eukaryotic small subunit ribosomal RNA", at positions 592 to 976 of the family's 1831-position model. The record is from RNAcentral.
CAAUAGCGUAUAUUAAAGUUGUUGCAGUUAAAAAGCUCGUAGUUGGAUUUCUGGUGGGAGCGAUCGGUCUGGCGCUUAGCGCGAGUACUUGCAUCGUCUCCGGCCAUCCUUGGGGAGAGUCUGUCUGGCAUUAGGUUGUCGGGCAGAGGAUCCUCAUCGUUUACUGUGAAAAAAUUAGAGUGUUCAAAGCAGGCUUAUGCCGUUGAAUAUAUUAGCAUGGAAUAAUAAGAUAGGGCUUUGGCACUAUUUUGUUGGUUUGCGCACCAAAGUAAUGAUUAAUAGGGACAGUUGGGGGUAUUCGUAUUCCGUUGUCAGAGGUGAAAUUCUUGGAUUUACGGAAGACGAACUACUGCGAAAGCAUUUACCAAGGAUGUUUUCAUUAA